CAGAGUGUCUUGGGAGCAAGGAUGGGAUGGCCUCGAAUGGCUCCUCACCACUGCUCUUGCUCCCCGCCUCUCUCCUGCCCCUGCAGCGAGGGGAGGGUUGGGGGUGGCAGCUCUGCCUCUGAGGGCUCUUGGGGAUGGAGGCUGUGCUCUGAGAGUUGGUUGUUACUCGCCUGCAAAAGGCAAGUUGCUUGCAAAUGGGCUAAGGUCUGAAAUCCUACCUAGGGGGCUUCUAGCUUAACCUCAAGUCCUCCCUCCUUGGCCAUGUCUCUGUGAGAACUGGUCUCCACUGAGGAGCCCGUCUUCCCUCCCUGGGUGUGUCCAUCAGCUCUGCCCAAACCAGGCUGGGAGGGCAGCUCCCCCAGGUUAUAGAAGGCCUUUGGGCUUUCCUGAAUCCAGGGGAGGGAGUGAGCCCUUCCAUACCACCUCACCCCCAACUCCAUGCAAAGAACUGGAUUCCAGAAGCCACAGAAGCUGGAGGAGCCACACCGCCAUGCCCUCUGUCCCCCCACAGUGUCCGGAGCCAGCAGUAACCCCUGCUCGGAGACUUACCAUGGCAAGUUUGCCAAUUCCGAAGUGGAGGUCAAGUCCAUUGUAGACUUUGUGAAGGACCAUGGGAACAUCAAGGCCUUCAUCUCCAUCCACAGCUACUCCCAGCUCCUCAUGUAUCCCUAUGGCUACAAAACAGAACCAGUCCCUGACCAGGAUGAGCUGGAUCAGCUUUCCAAGGCUGCUGUGACAGCCCUGGCCUCUCUCUACGGGACCAAGUUCAAUUAUGGCAGCAUCAUCAAGGCAAUUUGUAAGUGGCUGUAGGGUCUCUCUUGAUGGGCCUGCGAGGAACAUCUGCUGGCUCUU
This 852-nucleotide small RNA is filed under the name Pan troglodytes (chimpanzee). RNAcentral's name for it is "retained intron". Lineage: Eukaryota; Metazoa; Chordata; Mammalia; Primates; Hominidae. The record is from RNAcentral.